Molecule: transfer RNA, 73 nt
Filed under: Gossypium barbadense (sea-island cotton)
Lineage: Eukaryota; Viridiplantae; Streptophyta; Magnoliopsida; Malvales; Malvaceae
Also listed under: 1 other name
Rfam family: tRNA
About the family: Transfer RNA (tRNA) molecules are approximately 80 nucleotides in length. Their secondary structure includes four short double-helical elements and three loops (D, anti-codon, and T loops).
Source: Rfam by way of RNAcentral
ACCUACUUGGCUCAGCGGUUAGAGUAUCGCUUUCAUAUGGAGCAAGUCAUUGGUUCAAAUCCAAUAGUAGGUA